This 1368-nucleotide long non-coding RNA is filed under the name Helianthus annuus (common sunflower). RNAcentral's name for it is "sRNA HanXRQr2_Chr13g0571691". The record is from RNAcentral. Lineage: Eukaryota; Viridiplantae; Streptophyta; Magnoliopsida; Asterales; Asteraceae.
GAGCAGCCACUCCCUCAUCUCAUUUCAGCCGACACCCCUCUUUCCUUUUCUUCCUUCACUCUCGAACACAUAAACCAAAUCACAGGGAACCAAACCUGUCAUCUCUCCCUCUCCGAUUUGGGUUCACCGACGAGUCAACCACGACGGCGCUUCGUUUUCUGGCGAUUCAGAGCUGGUCGAGCUCCAACUGAUGUGGAUUCAGUCCAAUUCCUGUUCGAGUCUCCAUUUCGGGUUAGAUUUGAGACCAGACCUUGUGUUGUUUGCUCCGACGACUCUCUUCCGGUUCAUUAACGAUGGCAUAACCGUCGAACGUCGAGAACAGCAGCGGUGCUGGGCGUUUCGUCUGCGGCGGCGACGGCGAAGUGGGUUCAGCUCCGGGUUGUUUUCAUCUCAGACCCGGUACAGUGGUGGUGUUAGCUCGGGUUGGUAACGGGACUGGUUCUGUUUAGAUUCCGGUUCGGGUCGUCUAGAAUCGAUCUUGCUUCAGGUCAGUUUUGGAUUCGGAUUGUAUUUUGUUUAAAUUCCGAUUCAGCACAGGUUGUUUUAUUAUUUCAGUUCGUUCGGGUUCACGACACGGGGUAGCUCGGUUCAUUCGUUUCAGUUUUGGUUUCGGUUCUAUGUUCGGGUCAAAUCUGGUCAACAACGGUCAAAUAGUCAACACGGGUCAAACCCGGUCAACUGACGGGUCGACGGUUCAUCCGAGACUUGGGUGACCUCGGUGUUCCAUCCUCCAAAUCCCUUUCACUCGUCAACAAUCGGAUAAUCGGAAGAAUUUGCAAUAUUGUCACAUUUUAGAAACUAUGGCACGGUUGGAAUAGGUGAACCAUUGGAGAAUCGAGUACUUAGCAGGCGUUCAAUUUAUAGAAGUCUUAGCUUAUUUUGCUUCCGCUGUGCAAUGAAGAUACCAGUCCAGUCACGCUAGCUCUGAUAAUUUCGGGGUGUGACAGAAAUGCGGUCAAUCUUUAUAUAUCUUUUGAAUGGAUUCGCAAAAACUAUAACUAAAUGAAUAAGCCUAAGAAAGAUCUCUUUACCUUCAAUCUUCAUUAAAGUGCAAUCAAAUAUUUUUUAAGUACAAAAAGUGGAAUCUGGUUCUCAACCAAUAUCAAGUCUCUCAUCACAUUUGGGAUUACCAACCUUUCUCCCCCAAAUGAUAUCUUACCAUCUUCAGACUUCGACUUCAAUAGAUCAAAAAGGAAUUCUAAUAUGAAAAGUGCAUUGACAACAAUAAUAUCAGCAAAUUUUCUAUCACAUUGUUAAUAACGAUCAACAUCAUGAAUAUCUCCAUUGUCAUCGUAAUCCAUAUCACUUUUAUCAUCUUCAUUGUCCUCAACAGUCUUGGUCAAAUCAUAACAUGCUUUGAUUUUUUUU